GAAGGAAACCAGGAUGGUAAAGGGCAUCAGAUUUGUCACACAUGGGGAUCGGUUGAAGAAGAUGAAAAUCUUUAGCCUGGAGAAAAGACAUCUCAGUGGAAUCAUGAGAGCCAUUGAAAAUGAGAGGGGAAUUAGACAGGUUUGGUUAGGAACCAGAGACUAGCACUAGGAGCUCUGGGUGGGGAGGAGGGGAAGUUACAGAGGUGAGCUUAAGCUUGAUGUGAGAGGAAAGGAGGAAUCCUAGAAACUAGAAAUAUCCAAAGUGAGGCUAGAGUGACUGAAAAAUGAACACUAUCAUUAUGGAUGACCAUCUCUUUGAUAUGUUGCAAAAGAAUUUCUGUGCAGAUUUGAUGAGUAAUACCAAGAUGUUGGAGAACACGUCUCCUUUCUUGGAGAAGGAAUCACUGAGCAGUGAUAACUGAAACCCCUAGAGACCAAACAUAAUACCUGAACUGCGUUGGAGGUACCUGAAGAAAAAUGUGCAGCUUUUCAAGUAGUUUUAUAAUUGUUUCUCCUGAAGCUCUCCCGAAUCUGACGAAGAUUGCUUCAUUGGCUAUUGACAGCACCUUAAUGUGUAUGAGGAAAAUCCCUCUUGCAGAGGUACGAACAAUCAUUUAAGCUCACAGUACCAAUUGUGGGCCAUUACUACCUGCUGCUGAGUGAGCAUCAAUACAAUUGACCACUAACUGCUAUUUCACACCUGCUGUGUCAGAGCUAAAGACACACCAGAUACUGUCAUGAUACCAUCCACUGCAAGUACUAUGUUCUACCUGAAAGGUUCA
This is a long non-coding RNA of Antechinus flavipes (yellow-footed antechinus), 782 nucleotides long. RefSeq lists it as uncharacterized. The record is from RefSeq and is a predicted model, not a curated record. NCBI's taxonomy places the organism in Eukaryota, Metazoa, Chordata, Mammalia, Dasyuromorphia, Dasyuridae. The transcript has 3 exons.